UCGGCGGGAGUUGUAGUCCCCGCCUAAGGGGGAGGUGGGCCGCAGGCAGGCGGGGUGCCGGGCGUGUGAUUAGAUAAACACGGUGGUCUCCUACUCAGAAAAAAAAAACAACAGUACAGUCAGAAAGAGGAAGGAUAUGCACAAUAAUUAUGCACAAUAAAUAUGCACAAUAAUUAUGACAACAUAGAAUGUGACAUGCUGCUUGUGCCUCGUGCCAGCAGCACCAUUUGAGCAGAGCCCCACACUGCCCACUUUCAUUGCAGGGGAGUUGGACCCGGUGACCUUUAAAAGUCCCUUCCAACUCCAACGAUUCUAUGAUUGCUGCCACGUGACAGAGUUUUCAGCAGUGGUUAUGAAACGUGAGCAGUGAUGCUGCAGCCAUUUUGUCCCUGGGGAACUGAGGCAGGCAGUGUAUAAGUCACUGUGGUAUGGAAUGCAGUGGUGAUGGCACAACCUGUCUCACAGAGAGCUGUGCUACUGGCUGCAGUCUGCCUUGGAAAGAAUUCAUUGUUUGGGCGCGUGAAGAUUCCUCUGCUGCACUUCUCCUCUUGGUUCAGCUUUGCCAAGCUCUGUUCCUGUUUUUCUGAGUGGAGUAUUAUUUUCUGGAACCCCCGUCUUCAUCCUUUCUCUUGGAAGGAGAUUUACCAGGAAACAGCAGGGCAGUUUUUACAAGACAAAAGGAAUUACAGCUUUCACUGAAGGUUUGCUGGAACAUCUCAUUCUGAUCCUGCAGUGCUGCGCCAUUCAGUUCAAGUCAGGUUGAGCAUGACUUAUAAAUGAGAUCAGAAGCAGAGAGAAUGAGAGAAUCCUCAUGCAUGUUCCUUCCUGCUGGUACCAGGCAGAGCCAUUAAAACCCCAUGUUCGCCCAAGUGAGCUCCAACCCAUGUCAUUGCCAUUGAAGAGCUUUAUAAAUUCUUAAGUUAAAUAAAAAACAACCUGCUC
Molecule: non-coding RNA, 942 nt
Organism: Meleagris gallopavo (turkey)
Lineage: Eukaryota; Metazoa; Chordata; Aves; Galliformes; Phasianidae
Source: RefSeq, a predicted model, not a curated record